ACGGCUCAGUAACACGUGGCUAACCUACCCUAAGGACCGAGAUAACCCCGGGAAACUGGGACUAAUCUCGGAUAGAUGAAGGGUUCUGGGACGGCCCUUCAUCGAAAAGGACCUAAGGGGUUACCUCUUAGGUUCCGCCUUAGGAUGGGGCUACGACCCAUUAUGGUAGUUUGCGGGGUAAUGGCCCGCAAAGCCUAUGAUGGGUAGGGGCCCUGAGAGGGGGAGCCCCCAGAUGGACCCUGAGACAAGGGUCCAGGCCCUACGGGGCGCACCAGGCGCGAAACCUCUGCAAUGCGGGCAACCGUGACAGGGUUACUCCAAGUGCUCCCGUUAAGGGAGCUUUUGUCCGCUGUAGGUAGGCGGACGAAUAAGCGGGGGGCAAGUCUGGUGUCAGCCGCCGCGGUAAUACCAGCCCCGCGAGUGGUCGGGACGAUUACUGGGCCUAAAGCGCCCGUAGCCGGCCUAGCAAGUCUCCUCUGAAAGCCCCGGGCUCAACUUGGGGGCGGGGGAAGGUACUGCCGGGCUUGGGGGCGGGAGAGGCCGAGGGUACUCCUGGGGUAGGGGCGAAAUCCGAUAAUCCCAGGAGGACCACCAGUGGCGGAGGCGCUCGGCUGGAACGCGCCCGACGGUGAGGGGCGAAAGCUGGGGGAGCAAAGGGGAUUAGAUACCCCUGUAGUCCCAGCUGUAAACUAUGCGGGCUAGCUGUUGGGUGGGCUUAGAGCCCGCCCAGUGGCGUAGGGAAGCCGUUAAGCCCGCCGCCUGGGGAGUACGGCCGCAAGGCUGAAACUUAAAGGAAUUGGCGGGGGAG
Molecule: ribosomal RNA, 808 nt
Filed under: uncultured archaeon
Lineage: Archaea
Description: bacterial SSU rRNA
Rfam family: Archaeal small subunit ribosomal RNA
Source: RNAcentral